UUUGUCUUAUUUAGAGAACUACACACUAGAAUCUGCUGGGAAGCUUCCAUGAAGCAGACAAAUCUCUGCUUUUACACUGAAGAAAUGGCUUGAAUAGGGAGGUGUUCACCUUCACUGAAAGCAGUGAUGACUUGGCAUGAUUCAGGAAGUGAGGAAGAAACCGGGAAAGAGAGAGUACCUAGGAAGAGUGCAGAAGAUGAAGCAAAAUGCACUUACAAACCAAGCUGGUGAUGAUUGUCUGGGAAAGCAAGAGCAAGAAGUGUGACUCUUAGUAACAGAACAAGUUUAUAAGCAGGGGAGAAGCAAGCAAGAAGUUUGUGGUUUGGAGACUCUCAGUGGGGAGCAGUAAACUGGGGAGUAUCACCCCUAAACCAUGACAUACAGCAAUGAAUGAGAG
This is a long non-coding RNA of Hirundo rustica (Barn swallow), 397 nucleotides long. RefSeq lists it as uncharacterized. The transcript has 3 exons. The record is from RefSeq and is a predicted model, not a curated record. Lineage: Eukaryota; Metazoa; Chordata; Aves; Passeriformes; Hirundinidae.